AUCACAUUAACCUUCCUCAUUCCACCACAAGGUUACUAUGUGCUCUAGAAGGGAAGUAUCUAGCGCAAGAAGUUUGUGAUGACGUGAUGGAUGGUGCUGAUACAACUGUUGAGCAUGAUGAGCUACAGUGCAUCAGAUUCUCCUGCUCUUUACCAAAUGUUACUGGGCGAGGAUUCAUUGAGUGGGCUAGGAGAGCCAACCAUGUUUAUGGUCAAGUGGAAAUUGAUGAAGUGCGUAAUGAGAUCGCAAGUUAUGUGGUGAAGAAUAUCCUCAAGCUGUAAAGUAUGUAGUUACUCAUGCCGUAGAAAGCUCUGAAGUGAAAU
Rosa chinensis is the source of this 323-nucleotide long non-coding RNA. RefSeq lists it as uncharacterized. Lineage: Eukaryota; Viridiplantae; Streptophyta; Magnoliopsida; Rosales; Rosaceae. The record is from RefSeq and is a predicted model, not a curated record. The transcript is spliced from 3 exons.